This 50-nucleotide ribosomal RNA is filed under the name Otolemur garnettii (small-eared galago). The record is from RNAcentral. Lineage: Eukaryota; Metazoa; Chordata; Mammalia; Primates; Galagidae.
CACCCUGAACGCGCCUGAGCUGGUCUGAUCUUGGAAGCUAAGCAGGGUCG